UACGUAGGGGGCUAGCGUUGUCCGGAAUCAUUGGGCGUAAAGCGCGUGUAGGCGGUCCGUUAAGUCCGCUGUGAAAGCCGGGGGCUCAACCCUGGAAUGCCGGUGGAUACUGUCGGGCUAGAGUGCGGAAGAGGCGAGUGGAAUUCCUUGUGUAGCGGUGAAAUGCGCAGAUAUCAGGAGGAACACCAAUUGCGAAGGCAGCUCGCUGGGACGUUACUGACGCUGAGACGCGAAAGCGUGGGGAGCAAACAGG
This 253-nucleotide ribosomal RNA is filed under the name uncultured bacterium. RNAcentral describes it as "partial 16S ribosomal RNA". It matches the Rfam family "Bacterial small subunit ribosomal RNA", at positions 524 to 776 of the family's 1533-position model. The record is from RNAcentral.